GAUGAACGCUAGCGGCAGGCCUAACACAUGCAAGUCGAGGGGUAGGGUUAGCUUGCUAACUUGAGACCGGCGCACGGGUGCGUAACGCGUAUGCAAUCUACCUUGUACAGAGGGAUAGCCCAGAGAAAUUUGGAUUAAUACCUCAUAGUAUCUUUACCUGGCAUCGGGUAAUUAUUAAAGUUCCAACGGUACAAGAUGAGCAUGCGUCCCAUUAGUUAGUUGGUAAGGUAACGGCUUACCAAGACAAUGAUGGGUAGGGGUCCUGAGAGGGAGAUCCCCCACACUGGUACUGAGACACGGACCAGACUCCUACGGGAGGCAGCAGUGAGGAAUAUUGGUCAAUGGACGCAAGUCUGAACCAGCCAUGCCGCGCGCAGGAAGGCGGUCCUAUGGAUUGUAAACUGCUUUUAUACAGGAAGAAACAACUCUACGUGUAGAGUCUUGACGGUACUGUAGGAAUAAGGAUCGGCUAACUCCGUGCCAGCAGCCGCGGUAAUGU
RNAcentral lists this ribosomal RNA (499 nucleotides) under uncultured bacterium. RNAcentral describes it as "bacterial SSU rRNA". It matches the Rfam family "Bacterial small subunit ribosomal RNA", at positions 28 to 526 of the family's 1533-position model. The record is from RNAcentral.